UCCCCUGUGGCUUAGUUGGUAGAGCAUGGUGUUUGCAACGCCAGAGUUGUGGGUUCGAUUCCCACGGGGGAC
Molecule: transfer RNA, 72 nt
Filed under: Salmo salar (Atlantic salmon)
Lineage: Eukaryota; Metazoa; Chordata; Actinopteri; Salmoniformes; Salmonidae
Rfam family: tRNA
About the family: Transfer RNA (tRNA) molecules are approximately 80 nucleotides in length. Their secondary structure includes four short double-helical elements and three loops (D, anti-codon, and T loops).
Source: Rfam by way of RNAcentral